Molecule: ribosomal RNA, 340 nt
Filed under: uncultured bacterium
Lineage: Bacteria
Description: bacterial SSU rRNA
Rfam family: Bacterial small subunit ribosomal RNA
Source: RNAcentral
AAUCAACGCUGGCGGCGUGCCUCAGACAUGCAAGUCGAACGAUUAAAGCUCUCUUCGGAGAGUGUAUAGAGUGGCGCACGGGUGAGUAACACGUAAGUAAUCUACCUUCGAGUGGGAAUACCGUCCGGAACGGACGCUAAUACCGCAUAAUGCAGCGGCAUCGUAAGAUGACAGUUGUUAAAGUAUUUUAUUCGCUUGAAGAGGAGCUUGCGGCAGAUUAGCUAGUUGGUAAGGUAAUGGCUUACCAAGGCUACGAUCUGUAACCGGUCUUAGAGGACGGUCGGUCACACUGACAUUGAAUAACGGGUCAGACUCCUACGGGAGGCAGCAGUCGGGGUAA